CCCAGAAACCCUAUCUCAGUCCGGAUUGGAGUCUGCAACUCGACUCCAUGAAGUCGGAAUCGCUAGUAAUCGCAGAUCAGCAUUGCUGCGGUGAAUACGUUCCCGGGCCUUGUACACACCGCCCGUCACACCAUGGGAGUUUGUUGCACCAGAAGCAGGUAGCUUAACCUUCGCGAGGGCG
RNAcentral lists this ribosomal RNA (181 nucleotides) under Xanthomonas axonopodis. RNAcentral describes it as "partial 16S ribosomal RNA". It matches the Rfam family "Bacterial small subunit ribosomal RNA", at positions 1273 to 1452 of the family's 1533-position model. The record is from RNAcentral. Lineage: Bacteria; Pseudomonadati; Pseudomonadota; Gammaproteobacteria; Lysobacterales; Lysobacteraceae.